AGAUCGAUGAUGACUCCCUCAAUCUGCAUUUCUUGGAAAAGCUGAACAAAAUGAGUGAGAACUCCCUACUAUCAUUCUCAUCAAAUCUGAAGUCC
This 95-nucleotide small nucleolar RNA is filed under the name Vulpes vulpes (red fox). RNAcentral's name for it is "Small nucleolar RNA SNORD116 (ENSVVUG00000009277.1)". It matches the Rfam family "Small nucleolar RNA SNORD116". Rfam says of the family: HBII-85 is a member of the C/D class of snoRNAs, which contain the C (UGAUGA) and D (CUGA) box motifs. HBII-85 is encoded in a tandemly repeated array with another C/D snoRNA, HBII-52, in the Prader-Willi syndrome (PWS) region of chromosome 15. The record is from Rfam by way of RNAcentral. Lineage: Eukaryota; Metazoa; Chordata; Mammalia; Carnivora; Canidae.